UACGAAGGUCCCAAGCGUUAUCCGGAUUUAUUGGGUUUAAAGGGUGCGUAGGCGGAUUAUUAAGUCAGUGGUGAAAGCCUUCGGCUUAACUGAAGAACUGCCAUUGAUACUGAUGAUCUUGAGUAUGAUUGAGGUGGGCGGAAUGUGUCAUGUAGCGGUGAAAUGCUAAGAUAUGACACAGAACACCGAUUGCGAAGGCAGCUCACUAAGUCAUAACUGACGCUGAGGCACGAAAGCGUGGGGAGCAAACAGG
RNAcentral lists this ribosomal RNA (253 nucleotides) under uncultured bacterium. RNAcentral's name for it is "partial 16S ribosomal RNA". It matches the Rfam family "Bacterial small subunit ribosomal RNA", at positions 524 to 776 of the family's 1533-position model. The record is from RNAcentral.